UAGGGCAAUAAUGUAAGUUAGCACAACAAAGGAAGCCAGUUGUCUGCUCAAAAACAAGUUGGCUUCAGGACAAACUGAUCCGGGUCGGCCAAAGCCAUGGCCACGGUCCGGUCCCCUUCUGGACCCUGGAGCCCAGAAGAGUUAGAGUAUUGGAGUAUUACUUAUUUACUUCUAUCAGCCAAGCCUUGACGUUUCCG
Centropristis striata (black sea bass) is the source of this 197-nucleotide long non-coding RNA. RefSeq lists it as uncharacterized. The record is from RefSeq and is a predicted model, not a curated record. The transcript has 3 exons. Lineage: Eukaryota; Metazoa; Chordata; Actinopteri; Perciformes; Serranidae.